GUACUCACUAUGGCAGCAUAUAUAUUAAAAUUGGACCCAUACAGAGAAGAUUAGCAUGGUACCUGUGCAAAAUUCAUGAAGCAUUCCAYAUAUUU
RNAcentral lists this small nuclear RNA (95 nucleotides) under Urocitellus parryii (Arctic ground squirrel). The record is from RNAcentral. Lineage: Eukaryota; Metazoa; Chordata; Mammalia; Rodentia; Sciuridae.